CAGAAGGUAGUUUAUAUAAAAUAUUAACUUUGGGAGUUAGUGAAGGGUUGUAUCCUCUUUCUGA
This 64-nucleotide transfer RNA is filed under the name Cermatobius longicornis. Its description in RNAcentral is "tRNA-Pro". The record is from RNAcentral. Lineage: Eukaryota; Metazoa; Arthropoda; Chilopoda; Lithobiomorpha; Henicopidae.